CUCGGCGGCGGGCGGCAGCUAGCGGGAGCCGGGACGCCGGUGCAGCCGCAGCGCGCGGAGGAACCCGGGUGUGCCGGGAGCUGGGCGGCCACGUCCGGACGGGACCGAGACCCCUCGUAGCGCAUUGCGGCGACCUCGCCUUCCCCGGCCGCGAGCGCGCCGCUGCUUGAAAAGCCGCGGAACCCAAGGACUUUUCUCCGGUCCGAGCUCGGGGCGCCCCGCAGGGCGCACGGUACCCGUGCUGCAGUCGGGCACGCCGCGGCGCCGGGGCCUCCGCAGGGCGAUGGAGCCCGGUCUGCAAGGAAAGUGAGGCGCCGCCGCUGCGUUCUGGAGGAGGGGGGCACAAGGUCUGGAGACCCCGGGUGGCGGACGGGAGCCCUCCCCCCGCCCCGCCUCCGGGGCACCAGCUCCGGCUCCAUUGUUCCCGCCCGGGCUGGAGGCGCCGAGCACCGAGCGCCGCCGGGAGUCGAGCGCCGGCCGCGGAGCUCUUGCGACCCCGCCAGGACCCGAACAGAGCCCGGGGGCGGCGGGCCGGAGCCGGGGACGCGGGCACACGCCCGCUCGCACAAGCCACGGCGGACUCUCCCGAGGCGGAACCUCCACGCCGAGCGAGGGUCAGUUUGAAAAGGAGGAUCGAGCUCACUGUGGAGUAUCCAUGGAGAUGUGGAGCCUUGUCACCAACCUCUAACUGCAGAACUGGGAUGUGGAGCUGGAAGUGCCUCCUCUUCUGGGCUGUGCUGGUCACAGCCACACUCUGCACCGCUAGGCCGUCCCCGACCUUGCCUGAACAAGCCCAGCCCUGGGGAGCCCCUGUGGAAGUGGAGUCCUUCCUGGUCCACCCCGGUGACCUGCUGCAGCUUCGCUGUCGGCUGCGGGACGAUGUGCAGAGCAUCAACUGGCUGCGGGACGGGGUGCAGCUGGCGGAAAGCAACCGCACCCGCAUCACAGGGGAGGAGGUGGAGGUGCAGGACUCCGUGCCCGCAGACUCCGGCCUCUAUGCUUGCGUAACCAGCAGCCCCUCGGGCAGUGACACCACCUACUUCUCCGUCAAUGUUUCAGAUGCUCUCCCCUCCUCGGAGGAUGAUGAUGAUGAUGAUGACUCCUCUUCAGAGGAGAAAGAAACAGAUAACACCAAACCAAACCCCGUAGCUCCAUAUUGGACAUCCCC
Molecule: long non-coding RNA, 1168 nt
Filed under: Homo sapiens (human)
Lineage: Eukaryota; Metazoa; Chordata; Mammalia; Primates; Hominidae
Description: long non-coding RNA NONHSAT216957.1
Source: RNAcentral